UAGAAACCUUGAGAAAUAACACGACAGCUGUUGACCACCUGCAACCAGGUAAUUAUACUGUUGGUUGAUUCUUAAAAAUAUCUAUAUAUUUUAUUCGUUAGCUGCAGAUAUAUUUUUUAUAUACAUCUGAAAAGAGGAAAAAAUGCGUUAAAUGUUCCGCAUUAACUGUGCAAAAAAAGCUUUUGCGUUUAUUUAUUCAUUUUAAAUAAAUAAGGCGAGCAUAAUAAAAUAAGAAAUUAGUGGUUGAGUAUAAAAUUUUCUGCAUAUUAUCCAACAGCACGUGACCUUAUAAAUGCAAGACAUGGAGUGUAAAUGUUUGCAGCUGGACAGAAUAGUGCUAACUUCGUCCUGUUAGAUUUGUUGUAGGGUUCUACAAUAUCUGCACUUAAAUCCACUCAGCACACAUUCCUACAUUUAGGGACAAAGACUAAUCAAGUUUACGACUUGCUGAUUAAUCAAAUUUGUCUCUCGUGAUAAACAGGGAGUAAAUAUCUAACCACUAGUUAGUACAGCUUGUUAUAAAAUUAUUUUAUUCGUAUGAUACUAAACUAAAUCAUCUGGAAUUGUACAAACGUCUGAUUUUAGCCACUGCAGCGAUGGCGGUCCUUGUUAAAACUUAUUAAGGAUAAUAAAGUGAAGCCAAAAAUACAAGGUUAUUAGUCUUGUGGCGUAAUCUUGAGUAUUCUAAUUGGAUGGUUGUGCGCGACCACAAGUGGUGGGAAAGAAUAAUGAGACCAUCAGGAAAUAUGCUCCAUUUGUCUUGGGUUGCAGAGGCCAGGCCAUGUUCCUUGGGGGAUACUUUUCCUUUGUAGUGAUGCGAUAUGUUGUGGCUGGCAUUAAUUCAUGCAGUUAUCAAUAGCGGACUUUUCACCUGUAAAUGUUAAGUAAUUGAUAUUCUAUUUCGGCUCGGUAGAAGGUUUAUAAUGUCAUCACCAGCUCUAUUUGCUUUGACAAAUUUUGUUAAUAGUUGCCGAAAAUCAUAUUAGAAAGUUUCUAAACUCUCGACCACUUGAAAUUAAUUUCUCUAUUGACACGUUCGAGCAAAUCGAGAAAAUUUCGUAACGCACUGCCUAAUUGGCCAGGGGCAGCCUCUUUCCUACCUGGUCAAUUCGUUUUAUAUAUCUGAUGGGAAAGGGAUUUGAAUGGCCGGCAGAAUCGCUUGAUGGAGGAGUAAUAUUCUCCUAAUAGUUGUUUUUGACAGUAAUUGGUUUUAUGAGGUCCUGUUAUCGGGAUAGAAGAGUAUUGAGAAGGACACUACAACAAUUCACUCCAGAAGAAAGAUAGGCGAGCGACUAAACGUUCAGCACCUUUGCCGAUAAAAAGUCGGCCUGCACAUUGUAGCCGGCUAGAUAAAUCUAUAAAAAUGACGUCAACCAGUUGAAUUCUUGCGUGUUUUGUGUCCGUCUAAAUUACCAGAUCUAAAAAAAUUCCAAACAGACCAAACAAAGUCAUUUUCAACAGAUGGACCGCUCUUUUGAAAGCCCCCGAGCUGUAUUCCUUUUGGAAAUCAAAGAAAAUUGUUUUUUGCAAAACAAGAAUGGUUGGUCUUUUAUCUCUCUUCUUCGGUCCCCCCUCCUCCAAAAAAGUAUACAAAACUGGAAUGCGUUGAUGGCAUUCUUGCGGAUCCUGUCCAAAAGUCUGUCUGCGCCUAUCGAUUCUUUAUCGACUGGACAAUGUAAAAAAAAGUCACUCUCAUACGCCGAAUUGUAUUUUUCGGACGGGAUCGGGCCGGACAUUUUCGGCCAUUUCAUGCUUGGAUAAGCUUUAAAAGGAGUCGAGUCGAAAUAAACGCAGGAAUUUCAUAUUGUCAGAAUUUAUCACUUUUAAAGUUAUUUCGUCCGACGGCCGAAGACGAGAGGGCAACACAACGAAUGAGGGGAGAAUAAAAUAAUUUAGUGCGGUCACUUCAGUCUGGCAGGUAUUGGUCAUUUAGUAGUUGUGGCUGGCAGCACAAGAGAUAGAUGUCGAGCCAUUCCACACUUUACGAACUGUAUUUCUCCUCUGGCAGCCUCAACAGAUACGUGUGUCGAGUGUGUAAUGCUGAAAAACAACUAUCUGACAGAUUUUUCAACACACCGUAAUUGUAUUUACUGCCGAGAGAAAUAAAUUGGUUGCUGGAGUACCACGCGAUAACCAUUCCAUUUCACUCAAAUAUAAGUGUAUUCGUUACUGCACCGUUGCCACUAUUGCACUCCAGCAUUGACCAUAGUCUUCAUAUGCAAAUCCCACUUUUACUCUGCGGUUUCUUUAGCCUCUCCUGCCGUUUUAUCGGUCUUCGUCAAUAUUUAAUCACCGGCGGAGCCACCCGUAAACGAAUAGUUUAAUUUAUCCAAAUCGAUGAAACGUAACGAUUUUAAUGUCUUACGCCAACUGGCGGGAAAUUUUAACGCACUUUAGCGUUAUUAACAGGGAUGGUCCCUCGCCUAGAUCGUAAGAAUAUUAACGCCCUAUCGACGCAGUUGCGAUUUGCUCGGGUUACGAGCCGUAAAUGUAUUACAAGUGGCGGAUAACUCUGUGUAAACGAUAGCGAGAUGACCUAAUAUGCCCCGACAACUUCGAACGUGGUGCGCUUCGAUUGAUUAAAAAUCGGCUUACAUGACGGUUAUUAAUCUCUCGUAUGGUACUAAACUAUUGGCUUAAGUAGAACCUCAUCAGUUCUGAAACAUUAAAUUUCUCGGCUUGUUCGCGGGUUCGCAUCUGACCAUCUGCUCUAUUAAUCGAUGCAGAAAUGGGAUAAAAAUCGCAACGUUCACGAAAGCUACAAAAUAAUUAGGUUGCAGGUCAGUCAUUUUGCGUUUUUUUUUUAAUAUAUCGGCUUUCACUUUAAAGGACAAUAUCUGAAUCAAUCGGGAAUAAACUCAGUCUGACAUGUUUUGAUAAUUUUAAAAAAUAUUCGAAUCGUCGUCCGUAAUGAUGAUAAAGAGAUUUUAGACCGAUUAGAACUUAAUAUGAUUUUUCUCUUUUAAUUUUUUUUUUAUUUUUUUAGAGUUGGUAUCAAAGACAUUUGUUUCAAUUUUUAAAGG
Molecule: long non-coding RNA, 3023 nt
Filed under: Androctonus crassicauda
Lineage: Eukaryota; Metazoa; Arthropoda; Arachnida; Scorpiones; Buthidae
Source: RNAcentral